UAUCAAAACAGGUUACUGGGAGAGCAAGGAAUUGUAUUAAAGAUUGAAUUUUAAAAAGCUUUUGACAGAUGGAAUUGGACUUCAUUUUCUAAGUGCUGCUCAACAGGGGGUUUCCUCCCCUACGGGCUCAAUGAAUCAAGAAUUUAAUAUUCUUCUUGUAAACUUAGUGUUCUGGUAAACAAACAGGCAGUAAGCUAGAUUCUAUGCUGCAUACGGGUGGCCUCCUCUCUGCUCUCCUCUUCAUGAUUGCAAU
This 253-nucleotide long non-coding RNA is filed under the name Elaeis guineensis (African oil palm). RNAcentral's name for it is "long non-coding RNA (EGUI_LNC009593)". The record is from RNAcentral. Lineage: Eukaryota; Viridiplantae; Streptophyta; Magnoliopsida; Arecales; Arecaceae.